This 1427-nucleotide long non-coding RNA is filed under the name Sus scrofa (pig). RNAcentral describes it as "lncRNA (ENSSSCG00005024013.1)". The record is from RNAcentral. Lineage: Eukaryota; Metazoa; Chordata; Mammalia; Artiodactyla; Suidae.
CUAAAGAGUCUUGUUUCUUUAUUGCAGACUCACAGGCCCCGGGCAUGGCCCCCGGGCAGUGGCCCUGGGCUCUGGGGGAGGGUCCUGCACGCCUGCCGUCCCUGUCCUGGGCCCUGCAGACUGGGCAAACAGACAGCCCCUUCCCUUCAGGCGCUGCCUUUGUCCAGAGCCCCAGCCAGGACGCCGUCGGGGACACGGGCACAGCAGGGCGUGACGAGGAAGGGGCUCCGCGCGGCUCCCCAGGGCCCACCUCGACCUGAGCCUCAGCCCCGAGCGACUGGGCCUCAGCCUUGGUCCCUGGGGUCUACCCAGGCAGCCGUGGUCCAGGCCUGCAGUGGGGCAGGCAGCCGGCUGGGACUCUUGCCGCCUCCCUCUGCUCGGGGCACAGGGCAUGGCUGCCCUGCUCUGAGCCCGACUAGGAGACUCCUGGGUGAGCUGGGGACUCACGCCUGGCAGGGCCACAGGAGCCUGUGUCCCCAGCAGGGCCGCCACUGGUGUCCCCUCCGCGUGCCCUGCGCUCCCAGGACUGAGCCAGGAAGUGAGCCUGGAGCCCUGGCAGUGAGGGGCCACCCCACGGCCAAGGCUCUGGGCUGCAGGAGUCCCCCUUUCCCACCCCCAUGGAGUUGGGGCUUGGUCACCUGGUUGACACAGCCUCCGUGAGCUGGUGAGGGCUGCCUUUGACGGUGCCCAGGGUCCAGCCCCUGGUGGCCGCCCUCAGACUCUGCCCUUAAGCAGCCCAAGUCCCAUACACAUGGUGCUUGUCCUGGCCCAGCCAGCCCCAGGGAGCGACGGCAAGGGGUUUGGAGCCAGCCAGUGUCUCUCCCUACGGCUGUGACUCCUCUGGGCCCAGAGGCUUGUGAAGUGACCCUGACAGACUUCCCCUCAAUUCAGAGGCUGUGGGGGCAAGUGACAGAUCAAACCUCCCACUGGGACAACACAGGCCCCUGGCCAGACGCAGCAGCGCCCUCCCCAGGGUGGCGGGUUUAGCAGCCAGUCCGGCUCCCCCCACAUCCUCCUCUUCCCAUAGUCCCCAGAUGGAAGAGGGAUGGAGUGUCCUAGACCCUCAGCCUCAUCCCGGUGCCCUGUGAGGUGGGCACUGCUGCCUGGCUCUGCCCAUGAAGAAUGAACCAGGCUAAGUGAACUGUACAGCCUCACACAGCGUGCAAACCCAGGGCAACCUGUGUCGGAGCCUGGCCCCACCACUGCUGGACACCCAGAGGUGUCCCCUUGGCUGACAGGUGGCCAGCUUGGUCCCAUCCAAGCCAGGCGGAGACCCCCACCCUGGCCUCCUGGGCUCCUCCACACACAUCAAGCCCAGCCCCCAGCAGCAGUGUGCCCGCCUCAGGGCCCCCCACCUGCAGAUGUGGCCUCGCCUUCCUGGAGCCUCAUGCUCCUGCUGCAGGGCCUCCGCACCAGUUGUUCCCUCC